Molecule: transfer RNA, 87 nt
Filed under: Fidelibacterota bacterium
Lineage: Bacteria; Pseudomonadati; Fidelibacterota
Description: tRNA-Ser
Rfam family: tRNA
About the family: Transfer RNA (tRNA) molecules are approximately 80 nucleotides in length. Their secondary structure includes four short double-helical elements and three loops (D, anti-codon, and T loops). Further hydrogen bonds mediate the characteristic L-shaped molecular structure. tRNAs have two regions of fundamental functional importance: the anti-codon, which is responsible for specific mRNA codon recognition, and the 3' end, to which the tRNAs corresponding amino acid is attached (by aminoacyl-tRNA synthetases). tRNAs cope with the degeneracy of the genetic code in two manners: having more than one tRNA (with a specific anti-codon) for a particular amino acid; and 'wobble' base-pairing, i.e. permitting non-standard base-pairing at the 3rd anti-codon position.
Source: RNAcentral
GGAGAGGUGUCCGAGCGGCUUAAGGUGCACGCCUGGAACGCGUGUUUGGAGGAAACUCUAACGGGAGUUCGAAUCUCCCUCUCUCCG